This is an RNA transcript of Cebus imitator (Panamanian white-faced capuchin), 1054 nucleotides long. It is a transcript of the gene named proteasome subunit alpha type-6-like, with no coding region annotated. The transcript has a single exon. Lineage: Eukaryota; Metazoa; Chordata; Mammalia; Primates; Cebidae. The record is from RefSeq and is a predicted model, not a curated record.
ACGAAGUCAAGAGAUCAAGAGUAUCCUGGCCGACAUAGUGAAUCCUAUCUCUACUAAAAAAUAAAAAAAUUGGCUGCAACUUCUGGGAGGGGCUUGUACACCUGGUGCGGGAGCUGCGGGGCUCAGAGAUUGUGUUUGAAGUAGCGGUUCUACCAACUUGUCCAGUGGUUCCAGAGCCGGUUUUGACCGCCACAUUACCAUUUUUUCACCUGAGGGUCGGCUCUACCAAGUAGAAUAUGCUUUUAAGGCUUAACCAGGAUAGCCUUACAUCAGUAGCUGUCAGAGGAAAAGACUGUGCAGUAAUUGUCACACAGAAGAAAGUACCUGACAAAUUAUUGGAUUCCAGCACAAUGACUCACUUAUUCAAGAUAACUGAAAACAUUGGUUGUGUGAUGACCAGAAUGACAGCUGACAGCAGAUCCCAGGUGCAGAGGGCACGCUACAAGGCAGCUAACUGGAAAUACAAGUAUGGCUGUGAGAUUCCUGUGAACAUGCUGUGUAAAAGAAUUGCUGAGAUUUCUCAGGUCUAUACACAGAAUGCCGAAAUGAGGCCUCUUGGUUGUUGUAUGAUUUUAAUUGGUGUAGAUGAAGAGCAAGGCCCUCAGGUAUAUAUGAUCCUGCAGGUUACUACUGUGGGUUUAAAGCCACUGCAGCAGGAGUUAAACAGACUGACUCAACCAGCUUCCUUGAAAAAAAAGUGAAGAAGAAAUUUGAUUGGACAUUUGAACAGACAGUGGAAACUGCAAUUACAUGCUUGUCUACUGUUCUAUCAAUUGAUUUCAAACCUUCAGACAUAGAAGUUGGAGUUGUGACAGUUGAAAAAUCCUAAAUUCACGAUUCUUACAGAAGCAGAGUUUGAUGCUCACCUUGUUGCUCUAGCAGAGAGAAACUAAAUAUUGUCGUUAGUUUACCAGAUCCAUGAUGUCACUUAACUGUGUGUUUAGUAACAACAAACCAACAUUACGGAGGUCCCUGGAUUGAAAAAGGAGCCUCUCCCACUCCUUCUACUGCCGAAGUGGUUAGGACUCUAUAUAAAUAAAAACAGUGCUUUUGG